UAGAAUUCCACGUGUAGCGGUGAAAUGCGUAGAGAUGUGGAGGAAUACCGGUGGCGAAGGCGGCCUUCUGGACAGAUACUGACGCUGAGAUGCGAAAGCGUGGGGAGCAAACAGGAUUAGAUACCCUGGUAGUCCACGCUGUAAACGAUGUCGAUUUGGAGUUUGUUGCCUAGAGUGAUGGGCUCCGAAGCUAACGCGAUAAAUCGACCGCCUGGGGAGUACGGCCGCAAGGUUAAAACUCAAAUGAAUUGACGGGGGCCCGCACAAGCGGUGGAGCAUGUGGUUUAAUUCGAUGCAACGCGAAGAACCUUACCUGGUCUUGACAUCCACAGAAUCUUGCAGAGAUGCGAGGGUGCCUUCGGGAACUGUGAGACAGGUGCUGCAUGGCUGUCGUCAGCUCGUGUUGUGAAAUGUUGGGUUAAGUCCCGCAACGAGCGCAACCCUUAUCCUUUGUUGCCAUUGGUUCGGCCGGGAACUCAAAGGAGACUGCCGUUGAUAAAGCGGAGGAAGGUGGGGACGACGUCAAGUCAUCAUGGCCCUUACGACCAGGGCUACACACGUGCUACAAUGGCGUAUACAAAGGGAGGCGACCUCGCGAGAGCAAGCGGACCUCAUAAAGUACGUCUAAGUCCGGAUUGGAGUCUGCAACUCGACUCCAUGAAGUCGGAAUCGCUAGUAAUCGUGAAUCAGAAUGU
RNAcentral lists this ribosomal RNA (695 nucleotides) under uncultured Gilliamella sp. RNAcentral describes it as "bacterial SSU rRNA". It matches the Rfam family "Bacterial small subunit ribosomal RNA", at positions 662 to 1357 of the family's 1533-position model. The record is from RNAcentral. Lineage: Bacteria; Pseudomonadati; Pseudomonadota; Gammaproteobacteria; Orbales; Orbaceae.